UACGUAGGGGGCAAGCGUUGUCCGGAAUUAUUGGGCGUAAAGAGCUCGUAGGCGGCUUGUCGCGUCGGCUGUGAAAACCUGGGGCUCAACCCCGGGCCUGCAGUCGAUACGGGCAGACUAGAGUGCGGGAGGGGAGACUGGAAUUCCUGGUGUAGCGGUGAAAUGCGCAGAUAUCAGGAGGAACACCGGUGGCGAAGGCGGGUCUCUGGGCCGUAACUGACGCUGAGGAGCGAAAGCGUGGGGAGCGAACAGG
This 253-nucleotide ribosomal RNA is filed under the name uncultured bacterium. RNAcentral describes it as "partial 16S ribosomal RNA". It matches the Rfam family "Bacterial small subunit ribosomal RNA", at positions 524 to 776 of the family's 1533-position model. The record is from RNAcentral.